Molecule: long non-coding RNA, 1204 nt
Organism: Daphnia magna
Lineage: Eukaryota; Metazoa; Arthropoda; Branchiopoda; Diplostraca; Daphniidae
Exons: 5
Source: RefSeq, a predicted model, not a curated record
ACCUUGCCAGUUGCCAUUGUUAAUCAAUGGCAUAAUCAGUAGGUGUUAAAUGGCGUUCCGGUAUUCACGACGUAAUGGAUAAUGGAAAUGGUUUUGUAGAAUGAGUUAAAGAGAAGUUUUGAGAUUACAGUUGAAAGAAGUGAAAUAUUUUUUAACUAAAUUUGUUACACAUUUAAAGUAUAUUAGAUAAUUUUCCUUCGAGAUGGAUGUCAAAAUCCACUUGAUUUGAUGGCAGCACCAGGAAGUAAAUGUGACUAUGUCAUCACAUUUCAAAUCAUUAGUAGAAUACAAAGAAUACCAACAAUUCCCCAGAAUGAAAGAUAGGAGAAGAAUCAUAGUCUGGAUUGUACCAAACUUACCACAUCAGCAAACCCAAGAAUGAACACGAAGAAAAACUAGUAAGUUUUUUACCUUCACAGUGUGUCAUUCUGAAGCAGAGCUCCUGAAAUAAAGUUGAACGUUUUGAACCGUUUCAGUCCAAAGUUCAAGUUAAGAGGCAUUAGAAAAGAGUUGGCUUUUUGGUUAGAGUUUCUUCGACGUCCGAUGCCAUGCAGAUCCUGUCGAGGGAUCUGAAUAUAUUUUAGCGCUCAGUCGUAAUGGUGUUUACUUCCUCGACAAAAAUUUGAUAAAUUAUCAUUAUCUCGAGACUGUAUCAACUCGCAAAGUCAAAGCGGAAGAGGACCCUCUUUUCAUGGAGUCACCCGCAUUCAAUCAGAUCAAACGCACGAGACAUCCCGCGUUGUCUAGCAACUUACCAUCCAGCUACGCAUCUUUCAACAGAAUGUUAAAGAGGAAAGUAAUUGAUGUAAUGCCGACUCGAUGAUUUCCGUGCAAGAUGAAUGUUAAAUCCACGGAGAUCUCGUAAGCAGAAUGCAAAUGACUAUGUCAUGUCAAACCAUUAGCUGAAUACAAUGAAUACUAUCAGUUCCCUAGAACGAGAGGUUAAUAAUCAUACUGAAUCAAAAUAGGUACAUACUUGAACGAGAUUUUUAAAUGGUAACAGUUGGAAACCCAUGAGGAAAUAUCGAAAAACGAUAUCUUCACGUUACCUUUAGACGCUGAUUCGUCCCGAAGAUAAAAUAUAUAUAUAAAAAAAAUAAGUUAUUUUUAUAAAUUGAAGUGCAUAUCUGGGCUCCCUUCUUUUCUGUGGCCCCAUUUCCCCUUGACUCGUAAUAAGCCCGUAGGGGGUCAUGCCCCUACUGUG